This 410-nucleotide ribosomal RNA is filed under the name uncultured bacterium. RNAcentral's name for it is "bacterial SSU rRNA". It matches the Rfam family "Bacterial small subunit ribosomal RNA", at positions 29 to 481 of the family's 1533-position model. The record is from RNAcentral.
AGCGAACGCUGGCGGCAGGCUUAACACAUGCAAGUCGAACGGGCGUAGCAAUACGUCAGUGGCAGACGGGUGAGUAACGCGUGGGAACGUACCUUUUGGUUCGGAACAACCCAGGGAAACUUGGGCUAAUACCGGAUAGGGCCCUUACGGGGAAAGAUUUAUCGCCGAAAGAUCGGCCCGCGUCUGAUUAGCUAGUUGGUGAGGUAACGGCUCACCAAGGCGACGAUCAGUAGCUGGUCUGAGAGGAUGAUCAGCCACAUUGGGACUGAGACACGGCCCAAACUCCUACGGGAGGCAGCAGUGGGGAAUAUUGGACAAUGGGCGCAAGCCUGAUCCAGCCAUGCCGCGUGAGUGAUGAAGGCCCUAGGGUUGUAAAGCUCUUUUGUGCGGGAAGAUAAUGACGGUACCGC